UACAGAGGUCUCAAGCGUUGUUCGGAUUCAUUGGGCGUAAAGGGUGCGUAGGCGGCGCGUUAAGUCGGGUGUGAAAUCUUGGAGCUUAACUCCGAAACUGCAUUCGAUACUGCCGUGCUUGAGGACUGGAGAGGAGACUGGAAUUUACGGUGUAGCGGUGAAAUGCGUAGAUAUCGUAAGGAAGACCAGUGGCGAAGGCGGGUCUCUGGACAGUUCCUGACGCUGAGGCACGAAGGUCAGGGGAGCAAACGGG
This 253-nucleotide ribosomal RNA is filed under the name uncultured bacterium. RNAcentral's name for it is "partial 16S ribosomal RNA". It matches the Rfam family "Bacterial small subunit ribosomal RNA", at positions 524 to 776 of the family's 1533-position model. The record is from RNAcentral.